RNAcentral lists this ribosomal RNA (292 nucleotides) under uncultured bacterium. RNAcentral describes it as "partial 16S ribosomal RNA". It matches the Rfam family "Bacterial small subunit ribosomal RNA", at positions 505 to 796 of the family's 1533-position model. The record is from RNAcentral.
GUGCCAGCAGCCGCGGUAACACGUAGGAGACGAGCGUUAUCCGGAUUUACUGGGUGUAAAGCGCGUGUAGGCGGUCGAGUAAGUUGGAUGUGAAAGCUCCCGGCUCAACUGGGAGAGGUCGUUCAAUACUGCUUGGCUAGAGGACAGCAGAGGGGAGUGGAAUUCCGAGUGUAGCGGUAAAAUGCAUAGAUAUUCGGAAGAACACCAGUGGCGAAGGCGGCUCUCUGGGCUGGUCCUGACGCUCAGACGCGAAAGCUAGGGUAGCAAACGGGAUUAGAAACCCCAGUAGUCC